Molecule: ribosomal RNA, 253 nt
Filed under: uncultured bacterium
Lineage: Bacteria
Description: partial 16S ribosomal RNA
Rfam family: Bacterial small subunit ribosomal RNA
Source: RNAcentral
UACGAAGGUGGCUAGCGUUACUCGGAAUCACUGGGCGUAAAGCGCGUGUAGGCGGUACAAUAAGUCAGGGGUGAAAUCCCGGAGCUUAACUCCGGAACUGCCUUUGAAACUGUUGUGCUUGAACUUGGUAGAGGAGUAUGGAAUUCCGUGUGUAGAGGUGAAAUUCGUAGAUAUACGGAGGAACACCAGUGGCGAAGGCGGUACUCUGGGCCAAUGUUGACGCUGAGACGCGAAAGCGUGGGGAUCAAACAGG